This 29-nucleotide non-coding RNA is filed under the name Rattus norvegicus (Norway rat). The record is from RNAcentral. Lineage: Eukaryota; Metazoa; Chordata; Mammalia; Rodentia; Muridae.
UCAGAGCAAGGAAGUUUUCAGAAGGGAGA